This 248-nucleotide ribosomal RNA is filed under the name uncultured Lachnospiraceae bacterium. RNAcentral describes it as "partial 16S ribosomal RNA". It matches the Rfam family "Bacterial small subunit ribosomal RNA", at positions 524 to 771 of the family's 1533-position model. The record is from RNAcentral. Lineage: Bacteria; Bacillati; Bacillota; Clostridia; Lachnospirales; Lachnospiraceae.
UACGUAUGGUGCAAGCGUUAUCCGGAUUUACUGGGCGUAAAGGGAGCGCAGGCGGCACGCCAAGUCUGAUGUGAAACCCCGGGGCUCAACCCCGGGCUUGCAUUGGAAACUGGCGGGCUGGAGUGCCGGAGAGGUAAGCGGAAUUCCUAGUGUAGCGGUGAAAUGCGUAGAUAUUAGGAGGAACACCAGUGGCGAAGGCGGCUUACUGGACGGCAACUGACGCUGAGGCUCGAAAGCGUGGGGAGCAA